GCAUAGUUCAGAGGGUAAGAACACUGACUGAGACUCUUGAGGUCGUGGGUUCAAUCCUCACCUUACCCA
Molecule: non-coding RNA, 69 nt
Organism: Xyrichtys novacula (pearly razorfish)
Lineage: Eukaryota; Metazoa; Chordata; Actinopteri; Labriformes; Labridae
Source: the annotation of a GenBank genome assembly